UGAGGAAUAUUGGGCAAUGCCCGCAAGGGUGACCCAGCAACGCCGCGUGGAGGAUGAAUGUCGUAAGAUUGUAAACUCCUGUUAGAGGGGAAGAAUAGUACCGGUUGGACCGGUAUAUGACUGUACCCUCAGAGAAAGCCCCGGCUAACUACGUGCCAGCAGCCGCGGUAAUACGUAGGGGGCAAGCGUUGUCCGGAUUUACUGGGUGUAAAGGGCGCGCAGGCGGGAUAAAAAGUCAGUGGUGAAAUCCUACAGCUUAACUGUAGAACUUCCUUUGAUACUUUUAUUCUUGAGUUCGGGAGAGAGAGACGGAAUUCCAGGUGUAGUGGUGAAAUACGUAGAUAUCUGGAAGAACACCAGUUGCGAAGGCGGUCUCUUGGUCCGACACUGACGCUGAGGCGCGAAAGCGUGGGGAGCAAACA
Molecule: ribosomal RNA, 422 nt
Filed under: uncultured bacterium
Lineage: Bacteria
Description: bacterial SSU rRNA
Rfam family: Bacterial small subunit ribosomal RNA
Source: RNAcentral